AGCAAGUUGAAAUGGGGAGCUGGGAACUUUGACCUCCCAAGGAUGGGGGCUAGUCACUUCUUUGUGACACGCUUCAAUUGCUCCAGGAUGUAAAAUCUACCUUCAUUUCAGGGAAGUUGUCAAAUACUCCAUGAAGAUAACCAGUGCUGUUGAAAGACUAAAUACUAUUAUCACUGUCACCAUUACAUGAACUAAGCUGGUUCGAGUCCAGCAUGGAGACUAUCCAGAAGGAUGACUGUCAUGACCCAGUUAGCUGAUGUGAGUACACAUACUUCAUUGGUUUCAUAGAGAAGGAAUGGCCUCUGAUGUUCAUUACAGUUCUCAAUCUGUUGCUUUAAGCUCUGGAUGUCAUCUGGACUGAAGUUUCCUUUGAAAGGUAUCAUUUCAGUUGAAUAGUAUCUCGUAUGUGGCUUGUAGAAAGGGGUACUUCAUGAAUGAAAGACCAAAGGAAGAAAGCUCCAACUAUCUUCGAGAGCCAAAAUAUCUCUGUUUUUGCUGAAAGUUCUUUAGGUACCAUGAGACACAAGAAGCCUAAGACAUCAUCCCUAUCCUCAAGGCAUUUAUACCAUGUUUGAGUGAACAACAACAAAGAAAUAUAGUAUAUAAUUUAGCACUAAAUUAUACAACUCAGAGUAGGCUGAGUUGUGGGAGAUGGGGUAGGGGAUAUGAGAGGGAAGGAACCAAACACUACUAUCACCACUAUCAUUACUACUAGUACUACUAGACAUUUACACAGUGCUUUAAUUCUGCAAUAUGCUUUUUAGACUAUCUCAUUUGAGCUUUGCCACAGUCCUAUAUAAUAUAGGCAUUUUCAUUUUAUGAAGGAGAAAAGGACACCAAAAGAAGCUACAUUUCUUGACUAUGGAAUAUAAGCACCUUGAGGGCAGGAACUUUUAGCUCAGGGCCUUAUACAUAGUAAGAAAUAAAUGCUUAUUGACGGACUGACAGUCACUAUAGACUUAGGUGUUUCUCCUGGAAAAAAUGGGGACUGCUUACCUAAUUUCUAUUGUCUGAAGCAGUUUUUCAAGGAAAAUGGUUUGCAAACCUCAAAGUGCUUCCACAUGAUUUAUUAUUUCUCUUUGAUAAGGCACCUGAUGAAAAUAAUCCCCUUGUCCAAAUGUUGAGGGGGCAUAGUGAAAGGUGACCCUAAGAAACUAGUGAGGAUUGAGAAAUUUCCUAUGGAGUGGGAAGCUGGAAUUCAAAUAGGAGGCGAACAUAAGUAAUUUAAAACAGUCAUUGUUGUGAGGUGAGAAGAAAAGAGGAGAUUCUAGCAAGCUCAUUGUAAUUCAACGCGACAGUCACCGUGCUGGGUGUGCAAGCUUGGCAUUCUGUCAGCUGCUGAUGGCCACAUCAUCUUUUUGAGCUCUACUCCACUGAGGCAUCAUGACAGAUUUGAUGUACCCCCAAAAGUAAACAGAGGGAUUUCCACAGAUAUUUAAGAUUUGAAAAAUGACAUUUCAUGGCAGCAGCUGAGAAUGCGCUGAAUCUGUGAUGGGCAAUUAGAAGAGUGACAUUUUAUUUAAAGGGAUGAUUGUUCAGAGUUGGGCAUCUGUACUUUAUGGAUUGUUGAAAGUGGAAAGGUUGGCUUAUGGGCACACAGAAUAAAGGGAGAAAAGGAAGACGGUAACAGAGGGAAAGAAAGUGAGCGAGAAAAAGAAGGAGAGAGAGAGGAAGUGGAAUAAACUAGAAUGUGGUCAAUAUAAUUUUAUUUGCUUUAUUAAUCCUGAGUGUGGUGCCAAUAUGUCUGGGUUCUGUGGCUCCCUGGCUGCACUGUCACACGGUGUGUGAUCAAUCCUCACUCCCAUGAAAUGAGCCGCCCACUAGAAGGAAAACAUCGCUAGAAUCAUAUGACAUUUCCAUAAAAAUCUCGGCAUUAAACCAGGCCAUAUUUUGAUGUAGCAGUCUCAGUGGGUUUGAAUAGUCCCAGUGCUGCACAGCUCUGGGAAGAAGGCAGCCCUGUCUAUCCUGAUUGCUUGUUUCUUAACUGAAAUAUAUCCCAUUUCCCUGUCACCGGGCCAGUGAGACCAAGAAAAAGACACAAGCCUUGGGGUAUUCCUCUGAAUUGAUCUUCCCUGCUUCCAAACGAAUAGAGUCUUUCCUUUUCCAAGAGAGGAAAAGUGAGUGGUGGGUGCCAGUGGGGAUGGAGGUGGG
Molecule: long non-coding RNA, 2151 nt
Organism: Monodelphis domestica (gray short-tailed opossum)
Lineage: Eukaryota; Metazoa; Chordata; Mammalia; Didelphimorphia; Didelphidae
Source: RefSeq, a predicted model, not a curated record